GGGUAUAGCUCAGUGGUAGAGGAUCUGCCUUGCAUGCAGAAGGCUCUGGGUUCAAUCCCAGGCAUCUCCA
This is a non-coding RNA of Podarcis lilfordi (Lilford's wall lizard), 70 nucleotides long. The record is from the annotation of a GenBank genome assembly. NCBI's taxonomy places the organism in Eukaryota, Metazoa, Chordata, Lepidosauria, Squamata, Lacertidae.